RNAcentral lists this ribosomal RNA (253 nucleotides) under uncultured bacterium. RNAcentral describes it as "partial 16S ribosomal RNA". It matches the Rfam family "Bacterial small subunit ribosomal RNA", at positions 524 to 776 of the family's 1533-position model. The record is from RNAcentral.
UACGAGGGGGGCGAGCGUUGUUCGGAUUCACUGGGCGUAAAGGGUGCGUAGGUGGCUUGAAAAGUUUGAUGUGAAAGCUCAGGGCUUAACCCUGAAAUGGCAUUGAAUACUGUCGAGCUGGAGGUUUGGAGGGGGGACUGGAAUUCUUGGUGUAGCAGUGAAAUGCGUAGAUAUCAAGAGGAACACCAGUGGCGAAGGCGAGUCCCUGGACAACACCUGACACUGAGGCACGAAAGCUAGGGGAGCAAACAGG